UAUCUCUGUAGAGUCUGCAUAUCAAUAAGCGGAGGAAAAGAAACUAACAAGGAUUCCCUCAGUAACGGCGAGUGAGGCGGGAAGAGCUCAAAUUUGAAAUCUUCAAGGUUCUACCUUGACGAAUUGUAGUUUAAAGAAGUGUUUUCUGUUGGAGUUUUGGUAAAAGUUCUUUGGAGUAGGACAUCAUAGAGGGUGAGAAUCCCGUAUUUGACCAUUAUUUCCAGCUUUGUGAUACACUUUCAAAGAGUCGGAUUGUUUGGGAAUGCAGUCCAAAAUGGGUGGUAAAUUUCAUCUAAAGCUAAAUACUGGCGAGAGACCGAUAGCGAACAAGUACCGUGAGGGAAAGAUGAAAAGAACUUUGAAAAGAGAGUUAAACAGUACGUGAAAUUGUCAAAAGGGAAGCGUUUGACACCAGUGUUGUUUUCUCGAAAAUCAAUUAAAAAAUGGCGGGAUUUUGUGUUGUAUUGACCUUAUCGAGCUUUCUUCACUCUUUUUCCUGUCUUUUUUAAUGCACUUUUCGUUUAACAAGUCAACAUCAGUUUCUUUUGUUGUAAAAGGGUCAUUGGAAGGUGGCUUUCUUUUCGGAGAAAGUGUUUAUAGCCUUUGGCCUCUGCAAUCGGAGAGAUUGAGGUCUGCAGCGUAGAUCCUUCGGGGUUAGAUGCAUUUGUGCUAAGCUAUAGCCUUUCAUAGACAACUUGUUGACUAUGAUCAGUCAUGUAGCUUACUCGCUUAUGCUAUUUUACCUACGCUUAGGAUGUUGAGUAGCGACAUACGCAC
Molecule: ribosomal RNA, 777 nt
Filed under: uncultured Neocallimastigales
Lineage: Eukaryota; Fungi; Neocallimastigomycota; Neocallimastigomycetes; Neocallimastigales
Description: partial large subunit ribosomal RNA
Rfam family: Eukaryotic large subunit ribosomal RNA
Source: RNAcentral